This is a long non-coding RNA of Manis pentadactyla (Chinese pangolin), 363 nucleotides long. RefSeq lists it as uncharacterized. The transcript has 3 exons. NCBI's taxonomy places the organism in Eukaryota, Metazoa, Chordata, Mammalia, Pholidota, Manidae. The record is from RefSeq and is a predicted model, not a curated record.
GUACGGCUGCAGAAGAGCAGAGGCUGGAAUGGUGGCAGGGCCUGGGACGGAGAAGGACUACACCCUGCAGACACGAGCCGAGUGCUGGACCCGCCUCGGACCGCAAAGCUGGGUGGAUUUUCCUGAAAACAGGUGACCCCAGAUGACACUGAUGUUCAUUCAGCCCCUGCUGCUUUCGCUGUGGUUAAACUUGAGGCCCCUGAUUGUACAGUCCAGGGAAGAAACAGCCACACUGUGAUUCUGUGUGCCAACAGCCUAAACUGGCUCAUCAUCAUCUCACUGGGGGUACACCCUGAAGCCACAUACUGGGGUCACUCCAUGAAGAGGCGAUGGCCAUUUUAGAACCUGAAAUAAAUGCUUUUA